UCGAGGAUCUUCGUCAAUGGGCGAAAGCCUGAACGAGCGACGCCGCGUGUGCGAUGAAGGCCUUCGGGUUGUAAAGCACAAAGGGAAUGAACAAGGCCGAAAGGUUUGAGUGAGUUCCAGUAAGCACGGGCUAAGUUCGUGCCAGCAGCCGCGGUAAGACGAACCGUGCGAACGUUGUUCGGAAUCACUGGGCUUAAAGGGCGCGUAGGCGGGCAAUCAAGUCGGUGGUGAAAUACUACAGCUCAACUGUAGAACUGCCUCCGAUACUGGUCGUCUCGAGGGAGGUAGGGGCGUGCGGAACUGUUGGUGGAGCGGUGAAAUGCGUUGAUAUCAACAGGAACUCCGGUGGCGAAGGCGGCACGCUGGACCUCUUCUGACGCUGAGGCGCGAAAGCCAGGGGAGCAAACG
RNAcentral lists this ribosomal RNA (408 nucleotides) under uncultured bacterium. RNAcentral describes it as "bacterial SSU rRNA". It matches the Rfam family "Bacterial small subunit ribosomal RNA", at positions 355 to 774 of the family's 1533-position model. The record is from RNAcentral.